Pelobates cultripes (western spadefoot toad) is the source of this 259-nucleotide non-coding RNA. The record is from the annotation of a GenBank genome assembly. NCBI's taxonomy places the organism in Eukaryota, Metazoa, Chordata, Amphibia, Anura, Pelobatidae.
GUGACAGAGUGAGAGAGGGUGUGACUAGUGGCAGAGAGAGGGAGGGGGUGACUAGUGACAGAGUGAGGGAGGGAAGGGGUGACUAGUGACAAAGGGAGGGAUGGGGUGACUAGUGACAGUCACCACCUCCUUCACUCUGUCACUAGUCACCCCCUCCCUCACUCUGUCACUGUGUCACCCCCUUCCUCACUCUUUCACUGUGUCACCCCCUUCCUCACUCUCACUAGUCACUAGUCACGCCCUCUCUCACUCUGUCACU